This 631-nucleotide ribosomal RNA is filed under the name uncultured bacterium. Its description in RNAcentral is "bacterial SSU rRNA". The stretch from base 1 to 542 matches the Rfam family "Bacterial small subunit ribosomal RNA", at positions 338 to 873 of the family's 1533-position model. The record is from RNAcentral.
CCUACGGGAGGCAGCAGUGGGGAAUUUUGGACAAUGGGCGCAAGCCUGAUCCAGCCAUGCCGCGUGUGGGAAGAAGGCCUUCGGGUUGUAAACCACUUUUGUCAGGGAAGAAACGGUCUGAACUAAUACUUUGGACUAAUGACGGUACCUGAAGAAUAAGCACCGGCUAACUACGUGCCAGCAGCCGCGGUAAUACGUAGGGUGCAAGCGUUAAUCGGAAUUACUGGGCGUAAAGCGUGCGCAGGCGGCUUUGCAAGACAGAUGUGAAAUCCCCGGGCUCAACCUGGGAACUGCAUUUGUGACUGCAUGGCUAGAGUACGGUAGAGGGGGAUGGAAUUCCGCGUGUAGCAGUGAAAUGCGUAGAUAUGCGGAGGAACACCGAUGGCGAAGGCAAUCCCCUGGACCUGUACUGACGCUCAUGCACGAAAGCGUGGGGAGCAAACAGGAUUAGAUACCCUGGUAGUCCACGCCCUAAACGAUGUCAACUGGUUGUUGGGAGGGUUUCUUCUCAGUAACGAAGCUAACGCGUGAAGUUGACCGCCUGGGGAGGUACGGCCGCGAGGUAGAACGUACGAAAGAAGUUAGUACGGCGUGAGACGUAGCCGACGGACGACGACGAGGGAGGAGGGAG